UUCAUUCCCAAGGACGUGGCCUUCUCCAGGCAGCUCUGCAAACAUCUGCAAGAUCGGCUCCCCGCCUGGGGACGCCGGAUCCUUUCCAGAGCCGAGUGGACGAAACUUUGAUCUCUACCGGCAGGUUGUUUUGUUGUCUUCAACCCUGCUGCGUUCUGGGGGGCUCUGCCAUGGGGCUGUCGUUUGCUCGCCCUGGGUUCAGAGGGGAUGAAAAGGAAAGUGAAAGCGAAACGGCGUCGGAGCCGGGAGGAAUUCCCAGGUUGAGGAGAGAGAACUUGGGCGCUACAUUAAAUCAAGAUUAUACAAGAGUC
This is a long non-coding RNA of Malaclemys terrapin pileata, 311 nucleotides long. RefSeq lists it as uncharacterized. NCBI's taxonomy places the organism in Eukaryota, Metazoa, Chordata, Testudines, Emydidae. The record is from RefSeq and is a predicted model, not a curated record. The transcript is spliced from 2 exons.